RNAcentral lists this ribosomal RNA (207 nucleotides) under uncultured bacterium. RNAcentral describes it as "partial 16S ribosomal RNA". It matches the Rfam family "Bacterial small subunit ribosomal RNA", at positions 568 to 774 of the family's 1533-position model. The record is from RNAcentral.
CUUGUAGGUGGCCAACUAAGUCAGACGUGAAAUCCCUCGGCCUAACCGGGGAACUGCGUCUGAUACUGGAUGGCUUGAGUUUGGGAGAGGGAUGCGGAAUUCCAGGUGUAGCGGUGAAAUGCGUAGAUAUCUGGAGGAACACCGGUGGCGAAGGCGGCAUCCUGGACCAAUACUGACACUGAAAAGCGAAAGCCAGGGGAGCAAACG